Molecule: non-coding RNA, 72 nt
Organism: Phrynosoma platyrhinos (Desert horned lizard)
Lineage: Eukaryota; Metazoa; Chordata; Lepidosauria; Squamata; Phrynosomatidae
Source: the annotation of a GenBank genome assembly
GGCUGUAUGAUACAGUGGUUUCAGUACUGGACUAGGACGUGGGAGACCAGGGUUCAAAUCUCUGCUCAGCCA